UACGUAGGGUGCAAGCGUUACUCGGAAUUACUGGGCGUAAAGCGUGCGCAGGCGGUUGUGCAAGUCCGAUGUGAAAUCCCCGGGCUUAACCUGGGAAUGGCAUUGGUGACUGCACGGCUAGAGUGUGUCAGAGGGGGGUAGAAUUCCACGUGUAGCAGUGAAAUGCGUAGAGAUGUGGAGGAAUACCGAUGGCGGAGGCAGCCCCCUGGGAUAACACUGACGCUCAUGCACGAAAGCGUGGGGAGCAAACAGG
This 253-nucleotide ribosomal RNA is filed under the name uncultured bacterium. RNAcentral's name for it is "partial 16S ribosomal RNA". It matches the Rfam family "Bacterial small subunit ribosomal RNA", at positions 524 to 776 of the family's 1533-position model. The record is from RNAcentral.